UCGUCAGUGAGGUACAUCCUUACCUGUUACUCCUCUCGAGGAGUUUCAGAACAUGAUGAUUGGAGACACAUGAGAUAUGAUUAUUAUCUCCGUCUUGUAGGGAACAGCAACACCCUACAAGGUCCCAUCUGAU
Betta splendens (Siamese fighting fish) is the source of this 133-nucleotide small nucleolar RNA. Its record names the gene U8. It matches the Rfam family "U8 small nucleolar RNA". From Rfam's summary of the family: U8 is a member of the C/D class of snoRNA which contain the C (UGAUGA) and D (CUGA) box motifs. Lineage: Eukaryota; Metazoa; Chordata; Actinopteri; Anabantiformes; Osphronemidae. The record is from Ensembl.